CAUCAUUCGAUCAUGGUGUUUCAAACGUGUGUCAGUGUUGUUUGGGAAAUGUAACUCAGAUCAUGGCGCGAAAACUUUUCAUUGAUGCGCCGCCAUUACUGAAAA
This is a long non-coding RNA of Pieris rapae (cabbage white), 105 nucleotides long. RefSeq lists it as uncharacterized. The transcript has 2 exons. Lineage: Eukaryota; Metazoa; Arthropoda; Insecta; Lepidoptera; Pieridae. The record is from RefSeq and is a predicted model, not a curated record.